Molecule: ribosomal RNA, 117 nt
Filed under: uncultured bacterium
Lineage: Bacteria
Description: partial 16S ribosomal RNA
Rfam family: Bacterial small subunit ribosomal RNA
Source: RNAcentral
UACGUUCCCGGGCCUUGUACACACCGCCCGUCACGUCACGAAAGUUGGUAACACCCGAAGCCGGCGGCCCAACCCUUGUGGAGGGAGUCGUCGAAGGUGGGACUGGCGAUUGGGACG